CAUAUCGUCAUAAAAGCGAUGCAUCCAAACCUCAGUCUCGUAACCACUCAUGAAUGUUCGUACGCAUACUACGUUUGCUUGGUGCGGUCUGGACGAGAGGAAAUCUGGGACGAUGAACGGGCUAGCAAGGAAAGACACAGACAAUACUGAUUACCGGCCAGCGCAAAACGAAAAGAAAUUGUCGCCACAGAACGAUAACGAAGGUGGCGGACCUUCAUUGGCAGCGGAAGUUUGUGCUGUAUCAAAAAAAUUGCAGAUGAUCUGGCGACCUUUGUCAAGAAAACAGCGCCGUCUAGUGUAUAUGUGAUUAAGUCUUCUAAAUACAACACAGUAUCGAAUAUGAAGAUCGUGGCCUUUAGCGACGUACAGCCGUCAAUCCAUCCCUGCGCUCUGUCUUGCCCGACAACGAACAUUGAGAAUGUCACCCGUUGGAAGCUCAUGUAUUUAAGCUUUGCCUGGGUCUGAAUCGACCGCAGCAUUAUCGAGCGAUUGCGGUUAAAUGAACAUGACGGCGUCUCAGGGGGGCACCGGGUUAACGUCCCCGGGACUUCGGCGCAAAAACCUUCGCUCUUUUUUCAAGGCCAGGCCGAAAAAAAAAGUCGUUGCCAGCACAGUUACAACAUUAGUUUGUGACCCGCGGUCCGUUCAUUUUCAUUCUCUUUCAUUUACCCUACCGCAGCCUGGAUUUGUUGAUGUCGAAGGCACACUCUUGUCUCCUCGGUGCCUCUAACCCCACUUCUUCCAUUGAUGGGAAUUGGGUUCACCCCAUCAGUUAGAAGGUAUGGACAUUAUUGAGUAGUGUAUGGGUAGUGCACUGUUCAUUCGAUGUGUCAGACAUCCGUGCGUCCCUCGACUGGGCGUUUCGACAACUCCGAACAUCGACUAGACACCAUAGACAACGUGAGGCGUUUCUGCGAGAACUGGCAGAGCUGGUAUCCGGUCGUGCAACCACGAAAGACGCAUUCAUCUGCUUAGGUUUCUGAACAGUGUACGAGGUAAGGCCGUUUAUCGAUAAACGUUCGUUCGAUAGCGGGGUGAAUGCAGUGUGAGCACUGCGGAUUACUGGAGCUUCGGUGUCUGAGUCCUGAUCAACGUCAGCAUUCAACAAGAUCUUCCACACAGAGAUAACCACAGAGUGCAGAGCGAAGAAGUGUGUAUACGUCUGCGUGUGUGCGCGCGCGUGUUUAAAAAGCGAACCGACAGCCUCAGAAAUGGUACCGUUAAAGAUUCGUCGAAGCUAUGUGAUGGGGUCCACGACGGAUGGACUGCAUACGAAUGCGGCGACUCGGGGAAAGCAGGAAUCGUUCUUCUCAUAACGAAAAAACAACGGUCUAGGACUAGAGAACGAAAAUCAAACCGAUAUCAGAACGCCAAUAUUCAUCAUCGAUACGUUUGUUCGAGGUUGUCGGACGUAGGUUGUGUGUGCUCUAACCGGUAGAACGAACCCGUUUUGCCACCAUUCUUCCUCGAUCUAGACCGGCGGCAUCGCGCUCGUGUUCCCCUCCUAGCCGGAUGCUUUGUUGUUCGCUAGUAUGACUAGGCAGGCACCCAAGCAACGGAAGAAAAAUGGACAUCAACGGAGACAAUGCCAGAGGGCUAAAACGUACGACGUCUAGUAGAAUGGGUGAAAGCAAGGUGCAGUGAGUGGGCCCCUUCGUGACCCGGUGGAAUCCGCCUUUAUCUAUUUUUGCCUGUCAAUGAAUAGUAAGCCUGCACAGAUCUCGCAUCGAUGGACUGUAUUGUACACUUUGACUGUUUUUCGUUGACGGAUGAGCCAGAAGCAAGUAUCAGUAUGUUGAUGUCGGUUGUUCGUAAGAAAGUCGUUUGCCAGAUACAGAAAUAUCUGUAAUCGUCUUAAUUCAGGAGACAAAAGAGAUUUUGAGAGAGGCUGCUUGUUGCUUAACAAACAACGAGAAGAAAACUAAUUUUAUUGAAAAUAUUUUAUGGGAGAGUACAAUAGACACACAAUUUUGCACAAAGACGAUUAUGUAAUUUUGGUGUCUGUAAUUGUUGAUAAUAAUUUGAGUGAAAGUAACUAACCUGCUCACGUAAUCCGUUGCUACGGUUUAUCUGCGGCUGACUUUUUUUUUCAACUCAGGAAAUGAAAAAGACAGUUUUGAUGUAAUCAUGUUGGAAGUGAAGCUAAACUGCUAGCAGCUUCUUCGACGAUCGCCUACAAGCAUUGAUUCUUGAUAGCGCCUACUUUCUGACUAUAAACCUACUCUCUAGAUGAUCUCUAUUUUUGUUGUGACCCUUUCUCCAGUGUCGGAAUAAAACACGAGAAAAGCCGUCGCAACGGUACCCUUGUAUUGCUUACGUUGCAUAGGAGUAUCGCAUAUUGGUGGACCGGAGACACUUUUAAACAAAUGUCGAGAUUAUUGCACGCUUGAGACUUCAAUCCGAGAGCAGUUAAGCAGUUUCAGAUUGAAUGGCCUAUCUAUAUAACAUGAUUCUGGUCCAUCCGAGUCUGUUAAGUCUGCUAACCAUCUCUUGCGGUCGAGCGAAACAAUAAGCUUCAACCCGCGUUUACCAAAGACCACAACGAGUUCUUGGGGCACGUUAUGUAAAACGUACGAGGUCAGUGAUACAGUCACUUUCUUACUAAUCAGCCAGUUAUGAUGCUUCCUAUUUUAAACGAUUGGGUUGGGAUAAAACGUUAACCCUUAAUCACAUCAUUUUAUAUUUUUGUUAUUUAGUAUGAGAUUUUUGGAAGCACGCUUGGUCGUUCUAAAUUUCUCCAAGAAUUAGCGCGAUUACGAAAACCAACAACUCAGAAAAUUUACCGAUAGUGAUUCCUCUAAUCAAGUGCAUAGCUGGCUACACCUAUAAAAUCUGACACUCUGAAAAGACGAGUCAUUAUUGUCUAGUCUACCCGUUAAUCUUAAUUUCUGAAUACCUGAAAAAGCUUAGGUAUCUGUGAUUCCUAUGUAAUAUCCCACCCAGAUCCAGCUUUCACAAGGUCUUUAGCUCUCCGAUUUUAGUAACGCAAUGCUAGGAGCUUCCAACGUCAGAAUCUCCGACAAUAUUGUAUCUGCAUAACUCAUGGAGGGUUUCUGAUUUUUAAAUGUUUCUACCCAUUUAUUCCUUAUUUUAUACCCAUUUUUUAUUAUUAUUAUUUAUUAUUACCCUGCGAGAUAUUCGUUUUUCAUCUCAGCGUCAAGGGUUAAGUUUUCGUGACUGCUUCAUUACCCGUUACAGCAUGCGUUCUGUUGCUAGUUUUCACUGCCUUUUGAAUGCCUUUUAUCUCUUUGUCCACGUUUGUGCUAGAAACUUUGCAGCUCAAAAGGCUUAGGCAGAAAGUCUGCUCUGCUCAACUGAAGCUUUGUCGGGCAGAAAUAAACAAAGAAAAUGGACCGUCUGCUUCCCUUACAAAAAAAAGGAUCAGAAUGAGGAAAAGACAGCAAGUCACCAAGUCUCCACAUAUGAACAGAUACAAUGCCGCAAAAAAGUACGGGAAAUAGAAACCGAUGGGAAGAGGUUCGAUACAAGCAAAACAUUUUCAUAGUGCUGGCUUGCCUGCCUACAGGCUCUUUUCUUGCUUUGUGUAAUUCGUGCAGUAGGCCUCCCAAUACUAACUAGACCACCUACUAGACCUACGCAACCUACUUAUGCUAUCUCAGUGGUUUCUUUUACUCUUCUAUUUAAAAAAAAACUUGCAUUGCAAAUUAGAUUCCGUCAUGGGUCGAGGGUCUGUGUUUUCCUGUUUAGUGUAUUUAAGCCACUCACGCACCAUCCAUAGGGGGUACUUUGUGCUACUGACUUUGCCUCGGCCUUCGACUUCCUAAAGGAGUACGUUAAAGUCUAUAUAGACGGAAGGUAAUCUACACGCGCUACUAUAGGCUUUCCGAACAUACUGUUUCGGUUUUUCGCUUGUACAUGGUAAAGAUGUGAAGAACAAGCCGACGGCGAUGGAUUGCUACCCCUCAAGCCGUGCGAAUCGAUGCAGCCAACGAAAUGUCAGACGACAGAAAGCAGACUAGCAGCUUCACCGGCGACGUCCACGGAUCAGCAAGGUACAUAGCUAAAAAGGAUACAUCGCUGCGGCUGUGGGUGUUUUACAUGGGGGGAAUACACAAUGGGGGA
Molecule: long non-coding RNA, 4083 nt
Organism: Varroa destructor (honeybee mite)
Lineage: Eukaryota; Metazoa; Arthropoda; Arachnida; Mesostigmata; Varroidae
Source: RefSeq, a predicted model, not a curated record